Molecule: long non-coding RNA, 1422 nt
Organism: Teleopsis dalmanni
Lineage: Eukaryota; Metazoa; Arthropoda; Insecta; Diptera; Diopsidae
Exons: 3
Source: RefSeq, a predicted model, not a curated record
UUUAUUGGUUUUUAUUUAAAGCGGUAAUUAAGUUGUUUGUGGAUGUUAAAAUUUUAAUUAAAAUAAUAUGUGGAUCAGUUAAAAAAAAGUGUGUGACCUCUGUCACAAAACGACAAAUAAUAAAACGGAUAUCUAUUUGUUGGGUGAUUAGAUGGAGUACAAAAAAAUUCGAUUGCUUUCUACCAAUCUGCCACAAAACGGGGGAAAAUGCGAUGACAUUUUAGGUUUUUUAUUGGAUGAUAUUCGGAAAGAAAUUAAGUCAUCAAAAAAGCGUCACUGCGUAUAUUGUACAGAAAAAUGCGCUAGCUUAGAAUGCCAGAAAUGUAAUCAAUUUUUUCAUUUAGAAUGUGGCAUAAUUAAUAAAUGCUUGCUUUAAUUUGCUGAUGAUUUUCGGUCGUACUGCGAUUUAUAUCUGCCAUUAGACGACAAUUAAAGUAAAUUAAUGAAAAUCCCACCAGCGUUCAACGAGUACUGUUGUUGGAUAUGCGAAGAAAUAACGGGCUUUUACUUUCCAAACUUAUGGAUUUAUGGUAAAUGUUGUGGAAAUGGCUAUGUACAUCGCCCAUGCAUGCAAAAGUAUGCAUCCACUGCAGGAUACUAUUUAAAGUGUAUUUGGUGUAGAGAUGAACAGUUUCCUGAAAUAGUGAAGAAUCAAGGUAUAUUCGUACCCGACCGCGUUGCAGAGUGGGAACAAGAAGAAGGUGCCUUUAGUGAUUUGCACCUCAGACAUCAUUGUGAUAUAGAAACAUGCCUAACAUAUGUCCCAGUGGACGGAAUUAUAUAGGAGAUAAAGUUAAUGGUAAAUGGAAUUUAAUUCUGUGUAAAUUGUGUGGUUCUGUUGGAGGUCAUAAUCCUUGCAUUAUGAGGAAUAUCAAGUCUUCCGAAAUAGUUAAAGAAUUUAAAUGUGAAUUAUGUUAUGAUAGAAGCACGUAUGCAACAGAAAAAUAAAACUUGUAAAACAAAUGAAGUAGAAAUUGAAAACCCAGAAACUCCCGAAAAGUCGGCAGCUAAAGAUAAAGAUCUUGACAGAAGUAUCUUCCAAACUAAAAGGCUAAGCUUGCUGCAAAAGGAGAGUCAUACAAAUGAAGCACAUUUAUUUUCGGAAGAAAUGAUGAAUUUAAUGUAACUUUAUGUAGUUACAUUAAAAAAGCAUUAAAAAACCUACUCCAUUAGUUAUACAAAAUUCGGAACAAAAGGUUGAAAUACAUAAUACUGAUGUUGUUGCAAUAGAAAGUCAGAAUAUGGAAGCUGAUGAUAUGCUCAAUCAGAAUGCCAAUCAAUAUAGUACAACUAUUACAAUCUUUGAAGACUCAGAAUUUUGGAAUGAAUCUAAUGAAUACAAUAAGUGAUAUAUCUACGAUCAGUUUAGACUGAUCCUUAGAAGAAAUAAAUAUAAAUAUUUUAUUUAUAAUCUAAAAUAUA